RNAcentral lists this ribosomal RNA (467 nucleotides) under uncultured bacterium. Its description in RNAcentral is "partial 16S ribosomal RNA". It matches the Rfam family "Bacterial small subunit ribosomal RNA", at positions 28 to 506 of the family's 1533-position model. The record is from RNAcentral.
GACGAACGCUGGCGGCGUGCUUAACACAUGCAAGUCGAACGGAAAGGCCCUGCUUUUGUGGGGUGCUCGAGUGGCGAACGGGUGAGUAACACGUGAGUAACCUGCCCUUGACUUUGGGAUAACUUCAGGAAACUGGGGCUAAUACCGGAUAGGAGCUCCUGCUGCAUGGUGGGGGUUGGAAAGUUUCGGCGGUUGGGGAUGGACUCGCGGCUUAUCAGCUUGUUGGUGGGGUAGUGGCUUACCAAGGCUUUGACGGGUAGCCGGCCUGAGAGGGUGACCGGCAACAUUGGGACUGAGAUACGGCCCAGACUCCUACGGGAGGCAGCAGUGGGGAAUAUUGCACAAUGGGCGGAAGCCUGAGGCAGCAACGCCGCGUGCGGGAUGACGGCCUUCGGGUUGUAAACCGCUUUCGCCUGUGACGAAGCGUGAGUGACGGUAAUGGGGAAAGAAGCACCGGCUAACUACGU